Molecule: non-coding RNA, 379 nt
Organism: Xyrichtys novacula (pearly razorfish)
Lineage: Eukaryota; Metazoa; Chordata; Actinopteri; Labriformes; Labridae
Source: the annotation of a GenBank genome assembly
CACCCUACCACCCCCGCAGAUGCAGUUUGGGGACAUUUUCUUUCCUAGUUUGUGCCUUUGCAGUAAAUUGCUACAGUGCAGUGAUGGAUGGUGAGGAAACUGGGUUGCUGCUGCUGUUUGGUGCUCCUCUCCACGAGGGCAUCCUGUGCUGCUGAACAUGAGGUGCGAGGGUCGCCCCCUUUCCUCUUUAACUACUGGGUUUGGACCGGCUUUAGCAGCACUCUGGCAUUAUCAGGUGAACUUUGACCCCACUUCUUUGUUCGCUCUGGAGAAAGGUUUCCUGUUCUCUCCUUUUGUGUUUUUUAUUUUCUUCUUUUGUUUUGAGAUUUCAGACUGAGAGCUUCUUCUCUCCCUGAGACAGAAACUAUAAAACAGAAAA